Molecule: signal recognition particle RNA, 97 nt
Filed under: Dermatophilus congolensis
Lineage: Bacteria; Bacillati; Actinomycetota; Actinomycetes; Micrococcales; Dermatophilaceae
Description: Bacterial small signal recognition particle RNA
Rfam family: Bacterial small signal recognition particle RNA
About the family: The signal recognition particle (SRP) is a universally conserved ribonucleoprotein involved in the co-translational targeting of proteins to membranes. Archaeal SRP consists of a 7S RNA and homologues of the eukaryotic SRP19 and SRP54 proteins.
Source: Rfam by way of RNAcentral
CCAGACCCCUCGUGUGGUGGUACCUCACUGAACUCCCCCAGGGCAGGAAUGCAGCAAGGGUAGGUGUGCUCUUCCAGGUGCGCGAGGGGUCCCUUCA